UACGUAGGCGGAUUCGCAGGCAUCUUGUGAAAUCCCUCCGCUCAACGGAGGAACUGCAGGGUGAACCGCGAGUCUUGAGACAGGUAGGGGCUGUCGGAACGCUAGGUGGAGUGGUGAAAUGCGUUGAUAUCUAGCGGAACGCCGAAGGAGAAAUCAGGCAGCUGGGCCUGUUCUGACGCUGAUGUACGAAAGCGUGGGGAGCGAACAGGAUUAGAUACCCUGGUAGUCC
This 229-nucleotide ribosomal RNA is filed under the name uncultured bacterium. RNAcentral describes it as "partial 16S ribosomal RNA". It matches the Rfam family "Bacterial small subunit ribosomal RNA", at positions 568 to 796 of the family's 1533-position model. The record is from RNAcentral.